Molecule: ribosomal RNA, 253 nt
Filed under: uncultured bacterium
Lineage: Bacteria
Description: partial 16S ribosomal RNA
Rfam family: Bacterial small subunit ribosomal RNA
Source: RNAcentral
UACGAAGGGGGCUAGCGUUGUUCGGAAUUACUGGGCGUAAAGGGCGCGUAGGCGGUGUGUCAAGUCAGGCGUGAAAGCCCCGGGCUCAACCUGGGAACCGCGCUUGAGACUGGCACGCUAGAGUUCGGGAGAGGAUGGUGGAAUUCCCAGUGUAGAGGUGAAAUUCGUAGAUAUUGGGAAGAACACCGAUGGCGAAGGCAGCCAUCUGGACCGAAACUGACGCUGAGGCGCGAAAGCGUGGGGAGCAAACAGG